Molecule: long non-coding RNA, 447 nt
Organism: Glycine soja
Lineage: Eukaryota; Viridiplantae; Streptophyta; Magnoliopsida; Fabales; Fabaceae
Exons: 3
Source: RefSeq, a predicted model, not a curated record
GGGUGUAUGUGGCUCAGUGGUACCUAUCUUUUUACAAGUGUAGGUAUGAUGGUUGAUGGAGUUAGAAGUAAUAUUACUGAUAUCCAUGAAGACUUGGGUUAUUUUCAACAAAUAGUGGAAACAUUGGUAUGUAAUAUGUUUGUUUUCUCGCAGAUCCGCGACCCAUUUGGAAAAUUUGAUGCUUUAGCUUAAAAAUUAAAAACAAAGCGCAAACACUUGGAUCAAAGAAUGUAAGAUUAUUCCUGAUGUGGUGAACCUUCUCCAACAAAUACAACUGGUAGUUUGGGCUGAGGCAAGUCAAUUUCACUACCUAACAUCAUAACUACAGAUGACAUGUUUGGCCUGUCAUAUGGAUGUUGUUGCAGACACAUAAGACUGAUAUGGAUGCAGCGCAGAGCUUUAGAGAGAUUGCAAGAAUUUGUUCAAUAUUCACUAAUCAAUUCUAAA